Long non-coding RNA from Zophobas morio, 308 nucleotides. RefSeq lists it as uncharacterized. The record is from RefSeq and is a predicted model, not a curated record. The transcript is spliced from 4 exons. NCBI's taxonomy places the organism in Eukaryota, Metazoa, Arthropoda, Insecta, Coleoptera, Tenebrionidae.
AAGAAAAAGUUUAUUAGCUCCCCAGCGUCGACUACUAUAAAGGUUUACUUAAAGCAUUUAUUAAAAAAAUGGCUGCCUCCAAUGUUAUAAGCAGAUCAUCCAAGAAGUCGGCGCCCUCAAAGAACAAAAAAAGUAGUUCAUCAGAGAAAUCAAAACAGUCUACUUCUACAGCAAACUCGGGCAGGAUGCUCCGUUACUAUUACGAAGACUCCCCCAGUUUAAAGAUAGGCCCCAUUCCAGUCUUGUUAGCUAGUUUGUUACUUAUAGCUUCAGUAUUUGUUCUUCACAUAUGGGGUAAGAUAGUUCGC